Poecilia latipinna (sailfin molly) is the source of this 190-nucleotide long non-coding RNA. RefSeq lists it as uncharacterized. Lineage: Eukaryota; Metazoa; Chordata; Actinopteri; Cyprinodontiformes; Poeciliidae. The record is from RefSeq and is a predicted model, not a curated record. The transcript has 2 exons.
UCAGUCUGAGGUUUGAAUUAAGACCACUGCUUUUUGUAUUUCUGUUUUUUAUAACUUGUCUUGUAGUGAUCCGGACAGGUAAUGUCCUGCUAUGAAAUGUCGGGGGGCCAGACACAUUCUGGUGGAAGACGGUUGUAAAAAUAAUAUCUGGACCCCGGUCUCAGACCUCAGAAACGCAGAGUGCCGGAUC